Molecule: ribosomal RNA, 429 nt
Filed under: Gemmatimonadota bacterium
Lineage: Bacteria; Pseudomonadati; Gemmatimonadota
Description: Gemmatimonadetes bacterium partial 16S ribosomal RNA
Rfam family: Bacterial small subunit ribosomal RNA
Source: RNAcentral
UAGGGAAUCUUCGGCAAUGGACGAAAGUCUGACCGAGCAACGCCGCGUGAGUGAAGAAGGUUUUCGGAUCGUAAAACUCUGUUGUUAGAGAAGAACAAGGACGUUAGUAACUGAACGUCCCCUGACGGUAUCUAACCAGAAAGCCACGGCUAACUACGUGCCAGCAGCCGCGGUAAUACGUAGGUGGCAAGCGUUGUCCGGUGUUAUUGGCCGUAAAGCGAGCGCAGGCGGUUUCUUAAGUCUGAUGUGAACGCCCCCGGCUCAACCGGGGAGGGUCAUUGGAAACUGGGAGACUUGAGUGCAGAAGAGGAGAGUGGAAUUCCAUGUGUAGCGGUGAAAUGCGUAGAUAUAUGGAGGAACACCAGUGGCGAAGGCGGCUCUCUGGUCUGUAACUGACGCUGAGGCUCGAAAGCGUGGGGAGCAAACAGG